RNAcentral lists this transfer RNA (88 nucleotides) under Deltaproteobacteria bacterium. RNAcentral's name for it is "tRNA-Leu". It matches the Rfam family "tRNA". From Rfam's summary of the family: Transfer RNA (tRNA) molecules are approximately 80 nucleotides in length. Their secondary structure includes four short double-helical elements and three loops (D, anti-codon, and T loops). Further hydrogen bonds mediate the characteristic L-shaped molecular structure. tRNAs have two regions of fundamental functional importance: the anti-codon, which is responsible for specific mRNA codon recognition, and the 3' end, to which the tRNAs corresponding amino acid is attached (by aminoacyl-tRNA synthetases). tRNAs cope with the degeneracy of the genetic code in two manners: having more than one tRNA (with a specific anti-codon) for a particular amino acid; and 'wobble' base-pairing, i.e. permitting non-standard base-pairing at the 3rd anti-codon position. The record is from RNAcentral. Lineage: Bacteria; Pseudomonadati; Myxococcota; Myxococcia. RNAcentral also lists the same sequence under 2 other names.
GCGAGAGUGGCGAAAUUGGCAAACGCACUGGACUUAGGAUCCAGCUCCUGUUUUGGGAUUGGGGGUUCAAGUCCCCCCUCUCGCACCA